AACUUUCAACAACGGAUCUCUUGGUUCUGGCAUCGAUGAAGAACGCAGCAAAAUGCGAUAAGUAAUGUGAAUUGCAGAAUUCCGUGAAUCAUCGAAUCUUUGAACGCACAUUGCGCCCGCCAGUAUUCUGGCGGGCAUGCCUGUUCGAGCGUCAUUU
Molecule: ribosomal RNA, 157 nt
Filed under: Fusarium oxysporum
Lineage: Eukaryota; Fungi; Ascomycota; Sordariomycetes; Hypocreales; Nectriaceae
Description: 5.8S ribosomal RNA
Rfam family: 5.8S ribosomal RNA
About the family: 5.8S ribosomal RNA (5.8S rRNA) is a component of the large subunit of the eukaryotic ribosome. It is transcribed by RNA polymerase I as part of the 45S precursor that also contains 18S and 28S rRNA.
Source: RNAcentral